UUCGGAAUAGCUUAAAUAAAAGCAUUGAUUUUGUAAUUCAAAGACUGGGAAUUUCCCUUCCGAAU
RNAcentral lists this transfer RNA (65 nucleotides) under Elysia ornata (ornate elysia). Its description in RNAcentral is "tRNA-Thr". It matches the Rfam family "tRNA". Rfam says of the family: Transfer RNA (tRNA) molecules are approximately 80 nucleotides in length. Their secondary structure includes four short double-helical elements and three loops (D, anti-codon, and T loops). Lineage: Eukaryota; Metazoa; Mollusca; Gastropoda; Plakobranchidae. The record is from RNAcentral.